Molecule: ribosomal RNA, 402 nt
Filed under: Acinetobacter baumannii
Lineage: Bacteria; Pseudomonadati; Pseudomonadota; Gammaproteobacteria; Moraxellales; Moraxellaceae
Description: bacterial SSU rRNA
Rfam family: Bacterial small subunit ribosomal RNA
Source: RNAcentral
UGGGAACUUUAAGGAUACUGCCAGUGACAAACUGGAGGAAGGCGGGGACGACGUCAAGUCAUCAUGGCCCUUACGGCCAGGGCUACACACGUGCUACAAUGGUCGGUACAAAGGGUUGCUACACAGCGAUGUGAUGCUAAUCUCAAAAAGCCGAUCGUAGUCCGGAUUGGAGUCUGCAACUCGACUCCAUGAAGUCGGAAUCGCUAGUAAUCGCGGAUCAGAAUGCCGCGGUGAAUACGUUCCCGGGCCUUGUACACACCGCCCGUCACACCAUGGGAGUUUGUUGCACCAGAAGUAGCUAGCCUAACUGCAAAGAGGGCGGUUACCACGGUGUGGCCGAUGACUGGGGUGAAGUCGUAACAAGGUAGCCGUAGGGGAACCUGCGGCUGGAUCACCUCCUUA